RNAcentral lists this ribosomal RNA (30 nucleotides) under Gongora sp. SRR-2011. RNAcentral's name for it is "partial 26S ribosomal RNA". The record is from RNAcentral. Lineage: Eukaryota; Viridiplantae; Streptophyta; Magnoliopsida; Asparagales; Orchidaceae.
GUGACCCCAGGAUGGGCGAGGCCACCCGCC